Leopardus geoffroyi (Geoffroy's cat) is the source of this 254-nucleotide long non-coding RNA. RefSeq lists it as uncharacterized. NCBI's taxonomy places the organism in Eukaryota, Metazoa, Chordata, Mammalia, Carnivora, Felidae. The record is from RefSeq and is a predicted model, not a curated record. The transcript has 3 exons.
CUAUGUACUGUAUGAUGAGAUUUAUACGAAAUGUCUAGAAAAGGCAAAUCAAUAGAAACAGAGUGGUGGUUGCCUGGGGCUGGAGAUGAGAGUGGCGGGGGGCUGUGAAUGGGCAUGAGGGGUCUUUGUAGGAUGAUGGAAAUGUUCUAAAGCUGGACUACAGUGAUGGUUGUGUAACUCUGCAAAUGCAUUAAGAAUCACUGAACUUGGGGCGCCUGGGUGGCGCAGUCGGUUAAGCGUCCGACUUCAGCCAG